AACGAACGCUGGCGGCAUGCCUAACACAUGCAAGUCGAACGAGACCUUCGGGUCUAGUGGCGCACGGGUGCGUAACGCGUGGGAACCUGCCCUUAGGUUCGGAAUAACUCCCCGAAAGGGGUGCUAAUACCGGAUAAUGUCUUCGGACCAAAGAUUUAUCGCCUUUGGAUGGGCCCGCGUUGGAUUAGCUAGUUGGUAGGGUAAAAGCCUACCAAGGCGACGAUCCAUAGCUGGUCUGAGAGGAUGAUCAGCCACACUGGGACUGAGACACGGCCCAGACUCCUACGGGAGGCAGGAGUGGGGAAUAUUGGACAAUGGGCGAAAGCCUGAUCCAGCAAUGCCGCGUGAGUGAUGAAGGCGUUAGGGUUGUAAAGCUCUUUUACCCGGGAUGAUAAUGACGGUACCGGGAGAAUAAGCACCGGCUAACUCCGUG
RNAcentral lists this ribosomal RNA (433 nucleotides) under uncultured bacterium. RNAcentral's name for it is "partial 16S ribosomal RNA". It matches the Rfam family "Bacterial small subunit ribosomal RNA", at positions 29 to 507 of the family's 1533-position model. The record is from RNAcentral.